ACGCUCGACACCUACGGAGGCAGCAGUGGGGAAUAUUGCACAAUGGGGGAAACCCUGAUGCAGCGACGCCGCGUGGAGGAAGAAGGUCUUCGGAUUGUAAACUCCUGUUGUUGGGGAAAAAGAGGAUGGUACCCAACAAGGAAGUGACGGCUAACUACGUGCCUGCAGCCGCGGUAAUCUGAGGCGGGCUGGACAAGGC
Molecule: ribosomal RNA, 199 nt
Filed under: uncultured bacterium
Lineage: Bacteria
Description: partial 16S ribosomal RNA
Rfam family: Bacterial small subunit ribosomal RNA
Source: RNAcentral